AAGAUUUUAGUAGUUAAACUAUUUCUAUUUACGAAGUAGAAGUUAAAAGUCUUU
RNAcentral lists this transfer RNA (54 nucleotides) under Pratylenchus vulnus (walnut meadow nematode). RNAcentral describes it as "tRNA-Arg". The record is from RNAcentral. Lineage: Eukaryota; Metazoa; Nematoda; Chromadorea; Rhabditida; Pratylenchidae.